AUUGAACGCUGGCGGCAGGCCUAACACAUGCAAGUCGAGCGGAUGAAGGGUGCUUGCUCCUGGAUUCAGCGGCGGACGGGUGAGUAAUGCCUAGGAAUCUGCCUGGUAGUGGGGGAUAACGUCCGGAAACGGGCGCUAAUACCGCAUACGUCCUGAGGGAGAAAGUGGGGGAUGUUAGGAUCUCACGCUAUGAGAUGAGCCUAGGUCGGAUUAGCUAGUUGGUGGGGUAAAGGCCUACCAAGGGGACGAUCCGUAACUGGUCUGAGAGGAUGAUCAGGCACACUGGGACUGGAACACGGUCCAGACUCUUACGGGAGGCAGCAGUGGGGAAUAGUGGACAAUGGGCGAAAGCCUGAUCCAGCCAUGCCGCGUGUGUGAAGAAGGUCUUCGGAUUGUAAAGCACUUUAAGGGUUGAGGAAGGGCAGUAAGUGAAUACCUUGUUGUUUUGACGUUACCAACAGAAGAAGCACCGGCUAACUUCGUG
Molecule: ribosomal RNA, 484 nt
Filed under: uncultured bacterium
Lineage: Bacteria
Description: partial 16S ribosomal RNA
Rfam family: Bacterial small subunit ribosomal RNA
Source: RNAcentral